GAAACGCAGCGAAAUGCGAUACGUGGUGCGAAUUGCAGAAUCCCGUGAACCAUCGAGUUUUUGAACGCAAGUUGCGCCUGAGGCCAGCUGGCCGAGGGCACGUCCGCCUGGGCGUCAAGC
This 120-nucleotide ribosomal RNA is filed under the name Gymnadenia odoratissima. Its description in RNAcentral is "partial 5.8S ribosomal RNA". It matches the Rfam family "5.8S ribosomal RNA", at positions 41 to 154 of the family's 154-position model. Rfam says of the family: 5.8S ribosomal RNA (5.8S rRNA) is a component of the large subunit of the eukaryotic ribosome. It is transcribed by RNA polymerase I as part of the 45S precursor that also contains 18S and 28S rRNA. Functionally, it is thought that 5.8S rRNA may be involved in ribosome translocation. Lineage: Eukaryota; Viridiplantae; Streptophyta; Magnoliopsida; Asparagales; Orchidaceae. The record is from RNAcentral.